UGGUUCUGGCAUCGAUGAAGAACGCAGCGAAAUGCGAUAAGUAAUGUGAAUUGCAGAAUUUAGUGAAUCAUCGAAUCUUUGAACGCACAUUGCGCCCACCAGUAUUCUGGUGGGCAUGCCUGUUCGAGCGUCAUUUCGACCAUCAAGCCUAGUCGCUUGCGUUGGGGACCGCCUAACUGGCGGCCCUGGAAGCUAUUGGCGGAGCCACUGAGGCCCUCAGCGUAGUAAGUCUCUCGCUGCUUGGGCCCCCGAGGCGCUUGCCACGACCACUAUCAGGUUUGACCUCGGAUCAGGUAGGAAUACCCGCUGA
This 310-nucleotide unclassified non-coding RNA is filed under the name uncultured fungus. Its description in RNAcentral is "partial contains 5.8S ribosomal RNA and internal transcribed spacer 2". The stretch from base 1 to 133 matches the Rfam family "5.8S ribosomal RNA", at positions 22 to 154 of the family's 154-position model. The record is from RNAcentral. Lineage: Eukaryota; Fungi.